GACGAACGCUGGCGGCGUGCUUAACACAUGCAAGUCGAACGGAAAGGCCCUGCUUUUGUGGGGUGCUCGAGUGGCGAACGGGUGAGUAACACGUGAGUAACCUGCCCUUGACUUUGGGAUAACUUCAGGAAACUGGGGCUCAUACCGGAUAGGAGCUCCUGCUGCAUGGUGGGGGUUGGAAAGUUUCGGUGGUUGGGGAUGGACUCGCGGCUUAUCAGCUUGUUGGUGGGGUAGUGGCUUACCCAGGCUUUGACGGGUAGCCGGCCUGAGAGGGUGACCGGCCACAAUGGGACUGAGAUACGGCCCAGACUCCUACGGGAGGCAGCAGUGGGGAGUAUUGCACAAUGAGCGGAAGCCUGAUGCAGCAACGCCGCGUGCGGGAUGACGGCCUUCGGGUUGUAAACCGCUUUCGCCUGUGACGAAGCGUGAGUGACGGUAAUGGGUAAAGAAGCACCGGCUAACUACGUG
This 468-nucleotide ribosomal RNA is filed under the name uncultured bacterium. Its description in RNAcentral is "partial 16S ribosomal RNA". It matches the Rfam family "Bacterial small subunit ribosomal RNA", at positions 28 to 507 of the family's 1533-position model. The record is from RNAcentral.